GUCGAGCGAAUCUUUGGGAGCUUGCUCCCAUUGGUUAGCGGCGGACGGGUGAGUAACACGUGGGCAACCUGCCUGUAAGACUGGGAUAACUUCGGGAAACCGGAGCUAAUACCGGAUAAUCUUUUUCCUCUCAUGAGGAAAAAUUGAAAGUCGGUUUCGGCUGACACUUACAGAUGGGCCCGCGGCGCAUUAGCUAGUUGGUGAGGUAACGGCUCACCAAGGCGACGAUGCGUAGCCGACCUGAGAGGGUGAUCGGCCACACUGGGACUGAGACACGGCCCAGACUCCUACGGGAGGCAGCAGUAGGGAAUCUUCCACAAUGGACGAAAGUCUGAUGGAGCAACGCCGCGUGAGCGAUGAAGGCCUUCGGGUCGUAAAGCUCUGUUGUUAGGGAAGAACAAGUACCGGAGUAACUGCCGGUACCUUGACGGUACCUAACCAGAAAGCCACGGCUAACUACGUGCCAGCAGCCGCGGUAAUACGUAGGUGGCAAGCGUUGUCCGGAAUUAUUGGGCGUAAAGCGCGCGCAGGCGGUCCUUUAAGUCUGAUGUGAAAGCCCACGGCUCAACCGUGGAGGGUCAUUGGAAACUGGGGGACUUGAGUGCAGAAGAGGAAAGCGGAAUUCCACGUGUAGCGGUGAAAUGCGUAGAGAUGUGGAGGAACACCAGUGGCGAAGGCGGCUUUCUGGUCUGUAACUGACGCUGAGGCGCGAAAGCGUGGGGAGCAAACAGGAUUAGAUAC
RNAcentral lists this ribosomal RNA (741 nucleotides) under Bacillus sp. TAP3-20_Pa. RNAcentral describes it as "bacterial SSU rRNA". It matches the Rfam family "Bacterial small subunit ribosomal RNA", at positions 61 to 785 of the family's 1533-position model. Lineage: Bacteria; Bacillati; Bacillota; Bacilli; Caryophanales; Bacillaceae. The record is from RNAcentral.